Molecule: long non-coding RNA, 1413 nt
Organism: Ornithorhynchus anatinus (platypus)
Lineage: Eukaryota; Metazoa; Chordata; Mammalia; Monotremata; Ornithorhynchidae
Exons: 2
Source: RefSeq, a predicted model, not a curated record
CGCCGGCCGACAGCUGGGGCGGGGACGGGGACGCGAUCCCCGCCGACCCGGUCCGUGUGAAUGACGUCUCUUGGCUGGCCUGGGCGCCUGCCCUUCAGGCUCCGGACUGCCGCAGAGCCGCUCCUGCGCUACACUCUCCACCCCCUCACUUCGGGCUCAGAGGGUCUCCCCACCCGGUGCCACCUGCGCCCCCAGAUGAGGCCGGGCGGAGUGCUCUCAUCGCUCAGCAUCGGUGCUGCACUGUGGUUUCGGGGCAUUGGAGCCUUUUUUCAAAAAAUGGGAGUCGAGCACAUAGGGAAAUCUGUCCACCAGGUUGGCAGGUGGUGCUUGGCACAGGGUAGACGCUUAAAUAUUUAGGCCUUUAGUAAGGAUGGUAUUUGUUAAGCGCCUUCAGUGUACCAGCCACUUGAAGGCUUUGUGGCAGAUGCACCAGAAAGGUGCACUUCUACAGAGAGUCAAUGUUGUAUUUUGUCAUUCAACCUGUUUUUCAAGUCAGCCCUCCUACUCUUAAGAUUAUCGUGUUUAAGUACAGAAAAUCUGUGAUUUAAGGCACUUUGAGUUAAGUGCUCACUGUGUGCAGAGUUCAAUAGUUAGUAGACACAAUCCCUGACCACAAAGAGCUUACUAUCUACAUAUGUGGGUUUCAGCUUUACAAAAAAUUAGUUGUUCUUCAUAGGUGAAGACACCACUACUCACUGAUUGGGAAAGUCACCUAUGAGUCCCUGCAUGACUGAAAAGGUCAUGCAUGCACCCACAGCCCUGAUCACCUUGUGGACCCCCCAAGGAAUUUCUUGUGGUUUUCGUUAGGUUCAAAGUUGCAGUACCUGACACUUCUCUUUUGCCUCCUUGUUCAUUGUUCCUUAAGAAGCUUGAGCUCAAAACAGCCCACUCGCUUCUUGAUAGUAGUGUGCCGUGCUGAUCCUUGGCAAUUGUCUAUUUUCAGCUGGGAGGCAGCGUGUUCUGAAACUUUGUUUUCCCAUAUCCUUAAAAUAUCUCCUCUGCCCUUGCUCUUGGUUUCUCAAUUUCCACUCUCUGUCCAGCAGCUGUCUGGGUGUCUUGCUGUCAUUCAUUCCCAAGUGCCCCACCCAACUUUGACACUAGGCUCCUUUUGUGGCACUAGCUUCAAGGGGUUGGGGGAGCUAGGAGGGUACACUGGGAAUUGGGGAACUAUUUUCAAAGCUGCACUGGACUGGUUGCGGGGCAGGGGGAGGUGGCAGCAGGAAAAUUUCUAAAGGACAAGGAGGUGGGAGGGAUGAGGCCAGAGGGCCUCGGGGAGGGAAGGGUUACUUGCUCAUCAGGGCCGUCACCUGGAAGGAUCCACAUGACUUAUUAACGUGAAGUAAAAGUUGGUUACUCUGUUGUGGAGCCCCCUGACAAUAUAAAGACAUUAAAGACAUUCAUUUGGCUAUAUUA